Molecule: long non-coding RNA, 1369 nt
Filed under: Oncorhynchus kisutch (coho salmon)
Lineage: Eukaryota; Metazoa; Chordata; Actinopteri; Salmoniformes; Salmonidae
Description: lncRNA (ENSOKIG00005036299.1)
Source: RNAcentral
UGCUGUGGGCUUCUCCAAUAGAAAAAAGCUUUAGGUUCAAGUGGCUUUCCAAACACUUUGUGGCAUAGUAAUGGUAAAAGAAGGCUAUAUAAAUUAUAUUUUAAUUGAUUGGUUGAGUUAUUGAAAUGACUGAUGGCCACUUUUCUCUGUUGAAUGCUUCCUCUCCACAGUGAAGUAAUUGAAUACUCUAUUUCCAAGCUGCUAGACAUUCUGAAGAUUACACAUGAAGAGGCUGUGACUACUGCGAUAAGAUUGCAGGCCUUGGCCCCAAGAGAGCGCUGACUCUGAUCCAGCAGCACCGGACUAUAGAGAACGUAGUACUGAGCAUCAACAGAAAGGUACGUUUCCUCCCUGACCACUGCUCAUAUUACUACAAUACAAAUGACAUGGAGAUUGGUGCAAAUGCGUUUACAGAAGUCUUUAAUAAAACUGGAUUAAACAAACUAUUAAACCAAGGAAAUAAUCAAUGUAAUUUGUUCCCACUUCACAAGAUGAACAUAUAUUAACUAAUAGUUAUUUAAUUUUUCACUCCUAUUGUCAGAGUCGGGUGUAUAGGUGGCAGGGAAGUCAGGCGCAGGAGAAUCAAACUGAGUGUAAUGUAGUUAUUUAAUAACAAAUAAACAAAACAUAUUCCAAACACUAAAUGUAACAAUAAACAAAGUGGGUACGAGGACCUGUCGCGCACCAAUACAAACUCAAUGCAACACUGAAUAACAAACAAUCUCUGACAAAGACAAGAGGGGAAACAGAGGGUUAAAUACACAACAGGUAAUGAAUGGGAUUGAAACCAGGUGUGUAGGAAGACCAGACAAAACCAAUUGAAAAUGAAAAAUGGAUCAAUGAUGGCUAGAAGACCGGUGACGUCGACCGCCGAGCACCGCCCGAACAAGGAGAGGCUUCGACUUCGGCAGAAGUUUGUGACACCUAUGCCUGUCCAUGGACUGUACCUAGAAUAACACUCUCCAACCCUUCCUCCUCCAGAACCACCCUGUCUCACUGUUCUGGCAGUACCAGGAACACCACCCUGACUGAGCCCCCUGACCUGGAUUGAGCCGGAUGAGGAGGCCCUGGUCCAGGUUCUGUGCCAUGAUAAACACGUCAAGUACUGUUCUGGUCCUGUAUAACACCCAUUUGAAAUUAGACCAGGGGUCAAAAUAUAUCAAGCGUCUCAGAGUGCUGAUCUAGGAUCAGGUCCUCCCUGUCCGUGUAAUCUUCUUCGUUGUGCUCUAAAAGCUAAAACUGAGACGUUGGUUACAUGCGACCCCCUUGGUGUGCACAACUCUAAUCAUCUGGAUCUUGCAUUGCAUGUUUUAUGUCCAUGGUAGUAAUGUAAAACUGUAUUCUUCCAUAUGUAUGUGAUAUGUAGGGA